Molecule: transfer RNA, 75 nt
Filed under: Acinetobacter baumannii
Lineage: Bacteria; Pseudomonadati; Pseudomonadota; Gammaproteobacteria; Moraxellales; Moraxellaceae
Description: tRNA-Ala
Rfam family: tRNA
About the family: Transfer RNA (tRNA) molecules are approximately 80 nucleotides in length. Their secondary structure includes four short double-helical elements and three loops (D, anti-codon, and T loops). Further hydrogen bonds mediate the characteristic L-shaped molecular structure. tRNAs have two regions of fundamental functional importance: the anti-codon, which is responsible for specific mRNA codon recognition, and the 3' end, to which the tRNAs corresponding amino acid is attached (by aminoacyl-tRNA synthetases). tRNAs cope with the degeneracy of the genetic code in two manners: having more than one tRNA (with a specific anti-codon) for a particular amino acid; and 'wobble' base-pairing, i.e. permitting non-standard base-pairing at the 3rd anti-codon position.
Source: RNAcentral
GGGGCUUAGCUCAGCUGGGAGAGCGCCUGCUUUGCACGCAGGAGGUCUGCGGUUCGAUCCCGCAUAGCUCCACCA